GCUCGAGUGGCGAACGGGUGAGUAACACGUGAGUAACCUGCCCUUGACUUUGGGAUAACUUCAGGAAACUGGGUCUAAUACCGGAUAGGAGCUCCUGCUGCAUGGUGGGGGUUGGAAAGUUUCGGCGGUUGGGGAUGGACUCGCGGCUUAUCAGCUUGUUGGUGGGGUAGUGGCUUACCAAGGCUUUGACGGGUAGCCGGCCUGAGAGGGUGACCGGCCACAUUGGGACUGAGAUACGGCCCAG
This 244-nucleotide ribosomal RNA is filed under the name uncultured Actinomycetales bacterium. RNAcentral describes it as "partial 16S ribosomal RNA". It matches the Rfam family "Bacterial small subunit ribosomal RNA", at positions 89 to 334 of the family's 1533-position model. Lineage: Bacteria; Bacillati; Actinomycetota; Actinomycetes; Actinomycetales. The record is from RNAcentral.